GACGAACGCUGGCGGCGUGCUUAACACAUGCAAGUCGAACGGUAAGGCCUCUUCGGGGGUACACGAGUGGCGAACGGGUGAGUAACACGUGAGUAAUCUGCCUCUGACUUUGGGAUAAGCCCAAGAAAUUGGGUCUAAUACUGGAUAUUCACCUUGGGGCGCAUGUUUUGGGGUGGAAAGUUUUUGCGGUCAGGGAUGGGCUCGCGGCCUAUCAGCUUGUUGGUGAGGUAAUGGCUCACCAAGGCUUCGACGGGUAGCCGGCCUGAGAGGGCGACCGGCCACACUGGGACUGAGAUACGGCCCAGACUCCUACGGGAGGCAGCAGUGGGGAAUAUUGCACAAUGGACGGAAGUCUGAUGCAGCAACGCCGCGUGCGGGAUGACGGCCUUCGGGUUGUAAACCGCUUUCACUCAUGACGAAGCGUAAGUGACGGUAAUGGGAGAAGAAGCACCGGCCAACUACGUGCCAGCAGCCGCCGUAACAC
RNAcentral lists this ribosomal RNA (484 nucleotides) under uncultured bacterium. RNAcentral describes it as "bacterial SSU rRNA". It matches the Rfam family "Bacterial small subunit ribosomal RNA", at positions 28 to 526 of the family's 1533-position model. The record is from RNAcentral.